This is a long non-coding RNA of Papilio machaon (common yellow swallowtail), 271 nucleotides long. RefSeq lists it as uncharacterized. The record is from RefSeq and is a predicted model, not a curated record. The transcript is spliced from 3 exons. Lineage: Eukaryota; Metazoa; Arthropoda; Insecta; Lepidoptera; Papilionidae.
AAGGCUGGUUUUACAGUCACGCGUUUCGGCAGCGCCGUCGGAGCGCGCGCGCUCGGAUAUGUAUUGGGGUAUUAGUAGCGUUUCAAAUUCGCGCGCUUGAGCAGCGCCGUUCGUUGAACGCGUCCUAUUCGCGCGGCGCGGUCGAAGCGCGCGCCGCUCGUGCGCUUCUACGGCCAUUGUGCGUUUUAGUCUCACGCCGUUGAGACGUGCCGUUAGGUACUGUUGUGUACAAAAUGAAUCACAUCGAUACGGGUCGAGUAAUUUGAUUGAU